RNAcentral lists this long non-coding RNA (3051 nucleotides) under Sus scrofa (pig). RNAcentral's name for it is "lncRNA (ENSSSCG00025014703.1)". Lineage: Eukaryota; Metazoa; Chordata; Mammalia; Artiodactyla; Suidae. The record is from RNAcentral.
GGCAUAUGGAGGUUCCCAGGCUACUAGGGGUAGAAUCGAAGCUGUAGCCACCAGCCUACACCACAGCCACAGCAACACAAGAUCUGAGCAGCAUCUGCGACCUACACCACAGCUCACAGCAAUGCUGGAUCCUUGACCCACUGAGUGAGGCCAGGGAUGGAACCUGCGUCCUCAAGGAUGCUAGUCAGAUUCGUUAACCACUAGGCCAUGACAGGAACUCCUAUAUAUAUACUUUCUGUUUUAUGGGAACCUUUUUUUUUUUUUUUUUUUUUUUGUCUUUUUAGGGCCACUCCCACAGCAUACGGAGGUUCCCAGGCUAGGAGUCAAAUUGGAGCUAUAGCCACUGGCCUAUGCCACAGCUCACAGCAAUGUCAGAUCCUUAACCUGUGUCCUCAUGGAAAUGAAGAUUCGUUUCCACUGAGCCAUGACAGGAACUCAGAGACCCUAUACUUCUUAUUCAGACCUUCUGCACCAUGAAGCUGUCUACUGCCUUUAAUUGACAAAAAUUUAAAAAAAUUAUUAAAUCAUUUACUCACUACCCAGUGAAAUGCCAGAAUUCGGAUUUAUGCUGCCAAUUUGCUCCCACCACAGUGUGUCUGCAACUGUUACCAUCACCUAAAAUGAACUCUUUCCCCUUCUUGUAUAAAAUAUGCUUGUGGUCCCAUAAAUACCAGCCUUAUAAACUUACAAACUAGGAUCUCUAAUACGGAUCUUGGGUCUCAAUCAAAGAAAUUGAAAGUGCUGCUUAUAAGGCAUUUGUAAGUUAUGUAUUUGUGAAGUCUGGCCAUUCAGAAUUUAACUAGUACUCCUGUUUUAACAAGUUAUCUUAGAAUUUCAUUUUAUAAAUUUUGUGGCAUUCUUAAGCAUUAAGGUAAGCAAGAAAUAGAUACUGACACCCUAAAACACAGCUCAAAUUGUAUACCAGAAAGGCAGAAAAUCAAAAUCCAUUUCCAAAAAGUGUGCUUUUAGUAAACUGUUCCUUAAUGCAUCUCUCUGCUAAGCAACGGUCAUCAGGGGUCACUAAACCAUAUAUCCACUGCUAGAGCCAGAAGAGUAGAGCAGGAUUCUUGAAUAAGAAAAAAUUCCAGUUCAAGUUGCUGAGAAGUUCCUUGUAACCAAAUAGCUCGUGACAUUUUCAGUCUAGCGGUGUUUCACUAAAAAAAAUCACCUUCCUGGGAAAUUAACUGCUGCCCCACGUAUCUUUAGUGCUAGAAACAAAGUUGUUCCACCUUCCCAUUCCAGAACCAUUCUCGAGUUCACUCAUUUUCACCACGUCCAGCCUAACUCCUCUGCCAGGCUUUGGGACACCACAUCAUGACUCCUCUAAUCCUCUAAAAUAAGAUCCCACUAACAGCCCCACAAAGCCCCAAACACGAACCUUUCACUCAGCCCUCACAUUACUCCCCUUGCCAAGAAUAUUCUUACCUCUCCUGCCAAACUAAACGCACCUUCCAAAGUCAGCUCAGGUGGCACUUCCCUGCAAGGUUCCCUUUCUAUCCGGUUCAUCCUGUGUGGGUCUCCCAUCAUUCAGGACUCUCCGGUUACUGGUGUUCUCUGUACACUGGGCAUCAGUAUGCUGGGGCCAAUGACCAAAUCCUUCUACAAUGUUUUAAAUCCCCCCCGGUAUCCAACACGGAACUUACAUGCGGUUAUUUAAUAAAUGCUGAGAGGUUUAUCGCAUAGGAUUAUAUAUUGCCUAUCUUGUCAAGACCUCAGGAUCAUUCCUUUAGGUAAUUUUUAGAUGAUUUCCAAGGGUACAUUAAGAGCAUCUUUGGAUCAACAAGAAUGGCAGUCCUGAAAAAACCCAAGAGGGGAGAAAAGGCGGCUGAGCAGAAACAGACUUAAAGAAGUCUGUUUAAAAAUUCCCUGGAAGAGGAAUUUCUACAUGUCUUGUAAGAGCUUUCGACUCAGACUGUCUUUGCAAGGAUAUGUGCAUUGCAAACAACCUUGGAAUCUAAAAACAGUGCUUCCAGGUUAGAGGGCAGAUUGGUUUCCCACCCAGGAUAAUACAGAAGUGCCUGCCUUGGGUUGGCAGGUUGAGCAGUUCUGCAAGCCCCUUCAAAGAAGGGGGACUUCGUGAACUGAGAGAUCCUCAGCUGUGACACAAAUCCACUGUGUGCGGGUGGCCCCCUCAGCCACUCAGCAUUGCCCCUGGGAGCCUGGAGGGCAAGGGAAGUGAGAACGUGAAGCCUGCUGUGCCCUGAGUAGUAAAGUCCUUUCUCUCUGACCCGGGGGCAUCGAGGGAACAAGGGCAGCCAGCUUGUUCACCUGCACUGUGCAGUUUAGGACAACUUUUGGCGGUUAGCUAAAAGUGAGUCUGUUCAGCUAGGAUUUUCUCAUUUAUAAAAGAAAACAUAAGCUACCACAUCAAAUUCUGUACAUCUCACACGAACGGCCAAGAUGAGGCUCGAAAACAGCAACGUGCUGAGUGAAAGAAGGAAACUCCUGGUGUGAGGACGCCAGGAGUUCACGAUAGGAGGUUCUUGCACAGGCGAAGGUAAAGUGAGAGCAACCAGAAGGUAGGCCGCUUCUCACAGGAGCCACGGGUGGGAAGUGACUCCAGCUGAGAAUGCAUUUUCUGGGGUGACGAGAAUGUUCUACAUCUAAUUGUGAUCAUCAAUGAGGGUGGUUGUCACAAGGAUACACACAAUGGUCAAAAGACAUCAAACUCCACAGUUAAGGAGUUCCCGCUGUGGCACAAUAGGUUAAGAAGCCGAUGGCAGCAGCUCGGGUGGCUAUAGAGGUGCGGGUUUGAUCCCCAGCCCAGGGCAGUGGUUAAAGGACCUGGAAUUGCUGCAGCUGUGGCACAAGAGGUCACAGCUGUGGCUCAGAGUCGAUUCCUGGCCCAGAAACUUGCUGUUGAUGCAAAAACAAAACAAAACAAAAACAAAAACAAAAAACACCUCUAUAGUCAAGAGCUGUGUGUGUUUCCAGGCAUGUAAUGCUCAAUAAAAAAGCAUUACAAAUGCCAAAUAUCUAAACCCUGAACAUGCUGCAUUCUCCCUUUAGUUUCAGGAUAUGAUUGACAGAAACACUAAGACAAUACCAGCC